Molecule: transfer RNA, 70 nt
Filed under: Sphaerodactylus townsendi
Lineage: Eukaryota; Metazoa; Chordata; Lepidosauria; Squamata; Sphaerodactylidae
Description: tRNA-Ala
Source: RNAcentral
GGCCAUGGCUCAGUGGCUGAACAUCUGUUUGGCACGCAGAAGGUCCCAAGUUCAGUUCUCGGAAUCUCCC